ACCGGUCUAAGUUCGGAUUGCAGGCUGCAACCCGCCUGCAUGAAGUCGGAAUCGCUAGUAAUCGCGAGUCAGCAUAUCGCGGUGAAUACGUUCCCGGGUCUUGUACACACCGCCCGUCACACCAUGGGAGUUGGCAACACCCGAAGUCGAUGAGCUAACCGUAAGGAGGCAGUCGCCUAAGGUGGGGUUGAUAACUGGGGUGAAGUCGUAACAAGGUACC
This 220-nucleotide ribosomal RNA is filed under the name uncultured bacterium. Its description in RNAcentral is "partial 16S ribosomal RNA". It matches the Rfam family "Bacterial small subunit ribosomal RNA", at positions 1281 to 1500 of the family's 1533-position model. The record is from RNAcentral.